GUGGAUAUAGCUCAGUCGGUUAGAGCGCCAGAUUGUGGCUCUGGAGGUCGUCGGUUCGAUCCCGAUUAUCCACCCCA
This 77-nucleotide transfer RNA is filed under the name Oscillospiraceae bacterium. Its description in RNAcentral is "tRNA-His". It matches the Rfam family "tRNA". From Rfam's summary of the family: Transfer RNA (tRNA) molecules are approximately 80 nucleotides in length. Their secondary structure includes four short double-helical elements and three loops (D, anti-codon, and T loops). Further hydrogen bonds mediate the characteristic L-shaped molecular structure. tRNAs have two regions of fundamental functional importance: the anti-codon, which is responsible for specific mRNA codon recognition, and the 3' end, to which the tRNAs corresponding amino acid is attached (by aminoacyl-tRNA synthetases). tRNAs cope with the degeneracy of the genetic code in two manners: having more than one tRNA (with a specific anti-codon) for a particular amino acid; and 'wobble' base-pairing, i.e. permitting non-standard base-pairing at the 3rd anti-codon position. Lineage: Bacteria; Bacillati; Bacillota; Clostridia; Eubacteriales; Oscillospiraceae. The record is from RNAcentral.